GGGGGUCCAUUUUCCUAUGGGACCUCCUUUACCCAUUCUUACCUAUGGUGACUUGGGAUGAAAAACACACCCAACGUGUCACCUUCUUCAGAAUUCUUGGAAAAAAAGAGAGCUUGCUGUUAUUAAACUGUAUGUGGCAAAAGAAAAACAAAGUCAGCAUUGUUCACUUGGACAUGAAAUUUAUUGUUGUAGGCAUCUUGUGUUGCUCUAAAAGAUCCUGAGGCUGAAUAACUUAUAAAGAAAAAAGGUUAUUUGGCUCACAAUUCUGAAGGUCAGAAAAUUCAAGAUUGGAUGCCUGCAUCUGGAGAGGGCCUGCUUUCACUCACAAUGGAAGGGAGAAGAACAAAAGAGAAGAGGAACAGAACCUUGGGAGAUACUGAGACUCCAGGGAGGAAGAAGAAGCAAUACCAAAGAAGUAGCACGGGAAAGAAAAAACAAAUCAGUACGACUGAUUUAACAUAUGACAGAAAGCCUGGAAUCUACCUUUCUUAGACUCACUUACUAGCAGUUACUGGUUUAGGUUUUGCCAGUGAGAAACUCGUGUGUGAGACUUGGAAGGUGAACAAGAAGAAGAAGCCAUUGAUCUUCAGUGGGAGCUGCAGGCAGCUAUAUGGGCAUUGGAGAUGGCAGUGAACACAUGUUAAGUACUGUCAGUAGAGGAUGCAGGAGAGACAUUGAGAGAGGAUGAAGGAUUCUUCUAAUUCUGUACACCUGCCAAAGUCUCACCUCAGCUGCCUGCCUAGAAAGGCUGCUUCCCAUGACCCUCUCUACCUGAAGACCACAUGUUCUAAUUCUCAUGCAAAAGCCCCAUCCUCACUCCCUCUUUAUACAUUCACUUAUGAACUGUGGCUCUCUGCCACCUCAUUUCCUGCUUGCCCAGCGACCAUGGACCAGCUCUGAUCUGAGUGUCCUAGGAAACUUCUCUGGAGGUUGCAACUACACCUUCUCCAACAAGACCUGAACCCCACCUUGGAAUCCCCACUUCAACCUUGUCCUUCAUUGCAUCAUUUCCCUGAGCCCUAGGCUAACCAGCAGAGUUCUCUUUACAUCCUUAUAUUUACUUCCCUGCCAUAUUUAAUAAUUCUUUACAUUAAAAAGUUCCUGUUCAAAUUACUAUGAUUUCUUUUUCCUGAUUGAAUUUAGAUGGAUAUAUCCUCUUCAUAAUAAAUUCCAUUUCUCUUGGACUAAUUUGAAUGAAUGUCUGUUUCUUUUGAUCACGAAAACUGGCUACAAAUAGGCAGGACACAACAACUGAGUUUCCUCUGUUUGAGAUUCUUGCCCUUGUCCUUUGACUCUCACAGAAUUUUAUGAAAUUGACCUCAGUGCCUACAACUGACUGCACAUGACAAAAUGCAGAACACUUAGAUUUGAUGAACACAAGGCUUGACAUAUUUGUCAAUAGUACCAGGAAUAGUUUUGCAUACUAUAAUAUUUAACAGCCACAGGAGAA
This 1450-nucleotide long non-coding RNA is filed under the name Homo sapiens (human). RNAcentral's name for it is "HSALNT0119046". The record is from RNAcentral. Lineage: Eukaryota; Metazoa; Chordata; Mammalia; Primates; Hominidae.